GAUGAAGAACGUAGCGAAAUGCGAUAAGUAGUGUGAAUUGCAGAAUUCAGUGAAUCAGCGAAUCUUUGAACGCACAUUGCGCCCCUUGGUAUUCCAUGGGGCAUGCCUGUUCGAGCGUCAUUUGUACCUUCAAGCUUUGCUUGGUGUUGGGUGUUUGUCUCGCCUUUGCGUGUAGACUCGCCUUAAAAUAAUUGGCAGCCGGCGUAUUGAUUUCGGAGCGCAGUACAUCUCGCGCUUUGCACUCAUAACGACAGCGUCCAAAAGUACAUUUUACACUCUUGACCUCGGAUCAGGUAGGGAUUCCCGCUGAACUUAAGCAUAUCAAUAAGCGGAGGA
Molecule: unclassified non-coding RNA, 336 nt
Filed under: soil metagenome
Description: partial contains 5.8S ribosomal RNA, internal transcribed spacer 2, and large subunit ribosomal RNA
Rfam family: 5.8S ribosomal RNA (bases 1-120)
Source: RNAcentral